RNAcentral lists this ribosomal RNA (347 nucleotides) under Guptibacillus hwajinpoensis. Its description in RNAcentral is "partial 16S ribosomal RNA". It matches the Rfam family "Bacterial small subunit ribosomal RNA", at positions 1 to 335 of the family's 1533-position model. The record is from RNAcentral. Lineage: Bacteria; Bacillati; Bacillota; Bacilli; Caryophanales; Guptibacillaceae.
CUAUCGGAGAGUUUGAUCCUGGCUCAGGACGAACGCUGGCGGCGUGCCUAAUACAUGCAAGUCGAGCGGAGAUUUGGGAGCUUGCUCCCAAAUCUUAGCGGCGGACGGGUGAGUAACACGUGGGCAACCUGCCCUGCAGACUGGGAUAACUCCGGGAAACCGGAGCUAAUACCGGGUAAUACAUCGCACCGCAUGGUGCAAUGUUGAAAGUUGGCUUUCUGAGCUAACACUGCAGGAUGGGCCCGCGGCGCAUUAGCUAGUUGGUAAGGUAAUGGCUUACCAAGGCGACGAUGCGUAGCCGACCUGAGAGGGUGAUCGGCCACACUGGGACUGAGACACGGCCCAGA